Telopea speciosissima is the source of this 103-nucleotide long non-coding RNA. RefSeq lists it as uncharacterized. NCBI's taxonomy places the organism in Eukaryota, Viridiplantae, Streptophyta, Magnoliopsida, Proteales, Proteaceae. The transcript has 3 exons. The record is from RefSeq and is a predicted model, not a curated record.
AAUAGCAACUGAAGAAAGAAGCUACUCCAGGCAUGCUAUUACAAAAUAAUUUAACACUAGCAAAUAUGUUGAUUUGUACAAUUAGCUCAGAGAACGGGAGAUC